RNAcentral lists this ribosomal RNA (253 nucleotides) under uncultured bacterium. Its description in RNAcentral is "partial 16S ribosomal RNA". It matches the Rfam family "Bacterial small subunit ribosomal RNA", at positions 524 to 776 of the family's 1533-position model. The record is from RNAcentral.
GACGAACCGUCCAAACGUUAUUCGGAAUCACUGGGCUUAAAGGGUGCGUAGGCGGCCCGAAAAGUUGGGUGUGAAAGCCCUCGGCUCAACCGAGGAAUUGCGCCCAAAACUGUCGGGCUCGAGGGAGACAGAGGUGAGCGGAACUUAGGGUGGAGCGGUGAAAUGCGUUGAUAUCCUAAGGAACACCAGGAGCGAAAGCGGCUCACUGGGUCUCUUCUGACGCUGAGGCACGAAAGCUAGGGGAGCGAACGGG